RNAcentral lists this ribosomal RNA (416 nucleotides) under uncultured bacterium. Its description in RNAcentral is "bacterial SSU rRNA". It matches the Rfam family "Bacterial small subunit ribosomal RNA", at positions 29 to 428 of the family's 1533-position model. The record is from RNAcentral.
AACGAACGCUGGCGGCGUGCCUAACACAUGCAAGUCGAGCGAGAAAAGGGGAGCAAUCCCCUGAGUACAGCGGCGCACGGGUGAGUAACACGUAGGUGAUCUCCCCUCGAGCCCGGAAUAACCUACCGAAAGGUGGGCUAAUACCGGAUAUGACCACGGGAGUUUUGGCUCCUGCGGUGAAAGAUGGCCUCUACCUGUAAGCUAUCACUCAAGGAUGAGCCUGCGUGCCAUUAGCUAGUUGGUGAGGUAACGGCUCACCAAGGCUAUGAUGGCUAGCUGGUCUGAGAGGAUGGCCAGCCACACUGGGACUGAAACACGGCCCAGACCCCUACGGGAGGCAGCAGUGGGGGAUAUUGCGCAAUGGGCGAAAGCCUGACGCAGCGACGCCGCGUGGGUGAUGAAGGCCUCGGUCGUAA